Molecule: long non-coding RNA, 2066 nt
Organism: Cyprinus carpio carpio
Lineage: Eukaryota; Metazoa; Chordata; Actinopteri; Cypriniformes; Cyprinidae
Source: Ensembl
CUUUCAUGUUAAGCUGCAUUAUCACCGUCUCCUAGUUCCUGUGGUUUUAAUUAAAGUGUUCCGUGUUUGAAUCGCACUCUGAUUCUCCAGUCCCUUUCCUGAUACACAUUGUAUGCUGACAGAAGAGCAGACCAAACAAGAUGACUGAAGCUGAGGAUCGGCUGUGGUGCCUGCAACAGGGUGGCUGGCCUUUGCAGAGAGGUAGAAGAAAUGAGUCACCCUCAUCCAGCCCCCUUCUGAAAACCACAGUGCCUCUCCAGCUCACCCCAUGCCAGGACUCUCCACAUACCAACGGCUCCGACCACACAUCUCUGCCUGUGCUGAGUUUUUACAGAGCUCACCUGGGGGCCAAAGUUAAAAUCCACAUCACUCCCACUAUCUCCAGCCCCAAGAUUGGUCCCAGUCCUCCACCCAGAAAUGCCAGCCGAUCCAUUGUCGAGCCCGCUGUCCGAUCCACCAUGAUGUCUGGACCCAACAGGAACAUAAAUGUGACAUUUCACCCCAGGAGAAAACAGCAGAAAGAGGUUGUUACAAAACAAGAAGUGCUUUAUCUCAUUGCUUUUAUAAACAACAUCACCAACUAAAGAAUGUAUUUUAGACGACUAUGUUCCAAAGCUGAGAAACAAGAUGAUCACAAACUGGCUUAUUUGAUUGGUGAAGAAAACUCUGUAUUUUUCAAGUCAUUUUUCAUUUAUUGAUUGAAUUUUUGUAUUAUAUUAUAUAUUUCAGAUUGGCAGUGUGCUCUCAGACUUUUGAACCUCACAGUAGACAGAUGAACAGUGCUUGAAUGUGAGUCAGUGGCCAUUUCUCAUAAAUGAGAAAAUCUUUUCUGUUGCUGGCUCCUCAUCAGCAAUAGUGUCUUUUGAACUGUUUUAUUUACCCACCUUCAUGUCAUUCCAAACCUGAAUGAUUUUCUUUCUUGUGGUACAUAAGAUAUUUUGAGAAGAUAAGACACCGAGAAAUGUCUUAGUGUGUUUUUUCUUCUUCUUGAAAGUCAAAGGUCACCAAAACUGUCUGGUCACCAACAUUCUUCAAAAUAUUUUCUUUUGUGAUCUACUGGUUUGGAAAGACAUAAUGGCAUCUUGAUACUAUGAUUUAGCAAUAUAGAGAAAUAGACUUCCAAUAACAAAACAGAAUAGGAAGACUGAAGAAAUCUAGUCAUCCUGACCAAUGAACAUUCUGUCCAUGAGCUGCUUUUGAGGAGAGUGUUUGGAAGAACGGACACAGGUAAUGUGUGGGCUGAGAGGACAGCGGCUCCCUUAGGGGCUUUUCUGACCAGAUUUGACUGUCCCUCUGACAGCUGCCCUGAGGGAUAAAAAGCACCCAUGUUACAUUUUGAUUUUUAGAGCUGUUAAGUGACUUCAAUAAUAUAUCAAAACUUUUAUAAUAUAGAUAACAUUUUGCUUACUAGAAAGUUUCCUAAAUAAGUUUAUCAUUCAAAAAAACCAUAACAACAAUAUAAUUGUAUCCAUGGUCAUAAGUGCACUUUCAGUCACUGUCAGAGGAAUCAUUUUCUUCAUUAACAGCAAUUCAUCUUAAUCGUUUCAUAAUAUUAGAUUUAAAUCAGCAUUAGCCACAGAGACAACCACGACAACCACAUAUCCUAAUUGCCCCUUUACAUAACCAACCACAGCUUUCAUAAAGAGAAGUAAUUACCCAUGCUCAUUGAGUAUCCUCAUGUUCUCUGUGUUUCUGUUCACUGACUACUGUGAGGCAGUGGAUGUGGCUGUAAUCUGUCAUCUAGUGAGGCAGUGCGUAGAUAUGCUGAUGUACAUCAGUUGUUUCGAGUAGAUGGUGUUCUUUUCUUGCCCCCCCACAGAUGAUGUUUUGGCCUUUGGAUGAGCUGGAGAAAUCCUAGACAUACAUUUCCUGUGUGGUUUAGCAGUCUGUAACCAUAAAAACUCAAGCCAUAUAUAUGUCAUAUGGAAUGGAAUACGUUCCAGGGAGUGUGCCAGGCACAUAAAGAAUCACAAAUUACUACACUUAGAAUGUAAUGGAAAAUUUUUUUUUUACUAAUAAUGAAUAACAUUGAAAAUGGCAUGCAUAUGAUUAGGAAUUAACAGCAC